This is a non-coding RNA of Ictidomys tridecemlineatus (thirteen-lined ground squirrel), 70 nucleotides long. The record is from Rfam. Lineage: Eukaryota; Metazoa; Chordata; Mammalia; Rodentia; Sciuridae.
GGAGAUAUAGCUCAGUAGGUAGAGUGCUUGUCUUGCAUGCACAAAACCCUGGGUUCGAUCCUCAGUACCA